UCUUUCCCGCCCGAAACUCCACCAAGUACUUGUUGGAGGCGCCCCGAGAGCCUGGCACCAGGCUUGGAAAGAGCGCGCCUGAGGUCGUCAUCCUGAAAGCGCGGAGAGGACGCUGAGACGCGGCGGUCACUGUCGGGGUCCCGAGAGGGGAGGGGCUCCUGGAGGGGAGGGAUCUGGGAGGGGUGAGUCCGGGAGGGGAGGGGUUCCCGGAGGGGAGGGGGCCCGGGAGGGGAGAGGGUCCCGGAGGGGAGGGAUCUGGGAGGGGUGAGUCCGGGAGGGAGGAGUCAGGGAAGGCCUGAGUCCCAGACGGGUAGGGUCCUGGAAGGGAGGGGUCCUGGAGGGCAGGGGCUCACCCUCUGGACGCCUGGAUGGGAAAGGCCACAGGGUAAAAAGGCGGCAGUCGCCCGCCAGUGUUGUGUAACUUUGAGUCACUUUGACACCAUUCUGCAGGGAGCCUACUACUCAGGCCUCCAUUGUCUCGGUGGCAGAGCUUGUGCCAGUUAUGUUUAGUUGCCAGCUUUUGACUGUCAUAAUGCUUCCAUUUGAAACAUUGAUUGAGCUAAAGAUUCACGUUUUUUGUUUUGGAAAAUGUAGCCACUUUUCAUUUUAAAAUGUGUGUUAACAGGUAGUAAGUUUGUUAUUGUUAUUUUUAUGUAGCUAAAUAAUUUUAAAUGUCCUCUUAAUUCCUAGUAUGGUAAAUGUCAAUAGAUAAAGCUCACAUAAACAAAAGCUCUUUGGGGUCCUGUAUAAUUUUUAAGAAUUUAAACGGUUCCAGAAGCUAAAGGGCUUGAGAGGGGCUAACACAAAGCUCUGUGGCCCGCUGGUGACAGGUGCGUCACUGAUACUGCAGCCCCAUCCUCGUGCCCUCGUGUAAAACAGGGAAAAGGUGGAAAUGAGAAAACCCAGCCUGGCUUUCCCGGCAAGAAGGUGGCAAGCGUCACUUGUUUAUGUC
Molecule: long non-coding RNA, 952 nt
Filed under: Homo sapiens (human)
Lineage: Eukaryota; Metazoa; Chordata; Mammalia; Primates; Hominidae
Description: non-protein coding lnc-LAMA5-3:1
Source: RNAcentral